RNAcentral lists this ribosomal RNA (152 nucleotides) under uncultured eukaryote. Its description in RNAcentral is "partial 18S ribosomal RNA". It matches the Rfam family "Eukaryotic small subunit ribosomal RNA", at positions 1299 to 1458 of the family's 1831-position model. The record is from RNAcentral.
UGGUGGAGCGAUUUGUCUGGUUAAUUCCGUUAACGAACGAGACCUCGGCCUGCUAAAUAGCCACGCCUGCCUUCCCGCAAGGGCCCGGCAGGCGGACGCGCUUCUUAGAGGGACCGCCCGAACGCAGCGGACGGAAGCCCGAGGCAAUAACA